GGGGAUACAAUUUUUAGAAGAUAA
This 24-nucleotide non-coding RNA is filed under the name Arabidopsis thaliana (thale cress). Lineage: Eukaryota; Viridiplantae; Streptophyta; Magnoliopsida; Brassicales; Brassicaceae. The record is from RNAcentral.